AUCCAGCUGACGAAUCCCAAAUAGAACGAGACGCGCUUACUGGAU
Molecule: non-coding RNA, 45 nt
Filed under: Schistosoma haematobium
Lineage: Eukaryota; Metazoa; Platyhelminthes; Trematoda; Strigeidida; Schistosomatidae
Source: RNAcentral